AAGUCAUAACAAGGUUUCCGUAGGUGAACCUGCGGAAGGAUCAUUAUAGAAUGGCCGAAAGGCUUUAUCCACACACACUGUGAACCGUGGGCUUCGGCCUUUUAAACUCUGUGUAUGAAUGUAAAUUAUUAUAACUAAAACAA
This 143-nucleotide unclassified non-coding RNA is filed under the name plant metagenome. Its description in RNAcentral is "partial contains small subunit ribosomal RNA and internal transcribed spacer 1". The stretch from base 1 to 46 matches the Rfam family "Eukaryotic small subunit ribosomal RNA", at positions 1786 to 1831 of the family's 1831-position model. The record is from RNAcentral.